Molecule: transfer RNA, 74 nt
Organism: Geoalkalibacter subterraneus
Lineage: Bacteria; Pseudomonadati; Thermodesulfobacteriota; Desulfuromonadia; Desulfuromonadales; Geoalkalibacteraceae
Rfam family: tRNA
About the family: Transfer RNA (tRNA) molecules are approximately 80 nucleotides in length. Their secondary structure includes four short double-helical elements and three loops (D, anti-codon, and T loops).
Source: Rfam
CGGGGCGUAGCGCAGUCUGGUAGCGCACCUGCUUCGGGAGCAGGGGGUCGGAGGUUCAAAUCCUCUCGCCCCGA